CUGGGGCUGGCUGGGUAAACACUUUUUUCAAGAACAAAAAUUUACUAUGUGUUGCACAGCCUCUAGGCUACAUUUAUUAAUUUUCAGGUCUUCCUAUCGUGCUGCACAGCCUCUAGUCUACAUUUAUUAAUUUUCAGGUCUUCCUAUCAUGUUGCUUCAUACAGGAACAAAAUAUAUCAAGAAGGGCAAGAUAAGAGUUAGCCAGCACAGCUUAUCUCUCUUAUGCCCUGAAGAUGGACAGUCCAAUUUUUAGGAUGCCUUUUUUAAGAAAUGGAAGACUUCAGUUCAUCUCACUAUAUACUAAAUUAACUCAGCCAAGCUUCUUAAAUGUCAGUCUCAUUACCACUAAGCUAAAAAGCAUCUCUUCAACUCUGCAUUCACUGCAUAUAGUUCAGUUAUUUUCAUCAGAUGGAAAAGCCUCAAAAGAAUGCCCUCACUCCCAGUGCACCCAAAAGCCUGCUGGGCUGGGCAGUCUGCCAUACAGAAGAUAGGGAUUCAAGACCUUACUAUAAAUCAGGACUGGACUCGCAUCACAGAAGACUGAAUGUUCUACAGCAGUGUCUCGGGUUUGAUGAGGGACAAAUGUAAGUCAGUCGGCCCCACUAGGUAUUAUACUCAGCUGCUUUCCCUGCUUCACUCCAAGACACAGUCCUGAAAACAGCUAUCAGACUGACCAACAGAAAGAAAGACUGCUUUGGAAAUCUCACAGGGACUCUGGUGUAAAUUAUUUCUAAGCAUGUUUCCUUCUCAUGUCAAAGCUUCAACACGUUUUUGCUGCAGAGAAGCUUGUGUUUAAAAAUCCCAGCAGAGCUUCAGUGUUUUUCCCAGGCCUGGAAGUGAUAGGUAGAUGCUACCACAGAAAUUGAGAGACUUCACUGAAAUAUAAUAGCCUUGGUAGAGUGGAGUUAUGGCUUUACUUUGCUACAAGGGUUGUUAGUUUUCUGUCCCCAAAUGACAAAUCUCCCGAAAUUAUUAAAUAAUAAAGAUAUCUUGGAUACAACAUUGCUACUGUUUGAUUUG
Long non-coding RNA from Gallus gallus (chicken), 1020 nucleotides. The record is from Ensembl. NCBI's taxonomy places the organism in Eukaryota, Metazoa, Chordata, Aves, Galliformes, Phasianidae.